GGAACAUUUGAUAGUGCUGAAGAUGCUGCUUUAGCUUAUGAUCAAGCUGCAUUUUCAAUGAGAGGUAAUAAUGCUGUUAUCAAUUUUCCUGUUCAAAGGGUUAAAGAAUCUUUGCAAGAGAUUCAAUAUAAAUGUAUAAAAGGGUCUUCACCUGCACUUGCACUCAGAGAGACACUAUGAACAGAGAAAGUUGUCAUCAAAAGCAAGAAAGAAUAAUAAAGCAGAGAAACAAGAAUCAGCAGAGGGAUCAUCAUCAAGUGUGUUGGUGUUAGAAGAUUUAGGAGCUGAAUAUCUUGAGCAACUUCUAAGUAUGUCUGAUACUGAUAAUCAAAGUACAAACACCAGCUUCUAAUCAAAUUGUUAAUUUUAAUAAUUUUCUCUCUUAAAAUUUUUGGUUCUUGUUUUUGCAGUUUUUACAACAUAAAUUAUUGAGCUAGGGCAAUUUUGCAUAGAAAAAUGUGGUUGCUUUCAAGUUCUAACUGAACUGUUUGAUUCACUAGAUAUAUUUUGUUCUCUCUGAUUUCAAUUUAUUGGUACCUUAGUAAUUGAGAAUCAUCAUCAUAGCUUGGUACCUUAAGUAACAUACAAAUAUUUUUGGCAGGAACUUUUCAUGUUGGAUAGUAUAAAAAUUACUUUAAUACCUAACAUGCUGUAUUAUUAAAAUACACAUCAUAAAUACAAUUAAUGAAUCAAAUAAAGACAUCAGAUGUGAGUUGACCGGGACGUGAGUUUAUAAGUAAGAGACAAUUCUCACCAUACAAACUGAUCGAUUUUGUAGCAUUGAGUUAGACCAAAUACUUAAUUCUAAGAUGGUAUCAGAGUCUCUCCAAGAUCUGGUGGGCCACCCGCUGUCGGGUCACCUAUCAUUUAUAUCCACACACCAAGUCUGAUAGUGUUGUACGUGAGAGAGUGUGUUAAGAAGUCUCACACAGAUGUGAGUUGGUCUGAACAUGAAUUUAUAAGUAAGAGACAAUCCUCACUUUACAAGAUGAUUUUGUAAGGUUAAGUUAGACUCAAUACUCAAUUCUAAGAGAAAAUUUAAAAGAUACAUUUCCAGAGGUGAAGAGAUGUGAUCUAGAAAUGAAAGACAUUUUAAUUUCCUAUAGAUAGAGGAUGAAGAUUCCGGUACACAUAUUAUUUAAUUAUGUACCGAUAUAUUGUUGAGGUGGAUAAUUCUUAUAAAUCCCAAAUUGUGAACCUAGCAAUUUACAUAUCCGAUAUACCAAUACAUAUCAAAAUAAUACGUGUAUAAAAAAAUUCACCUAAAUAGAGAAACUUGUCAAGAGGUGAAAUAUCAUCAAUCACAGAGAGAGUUGAUAUAUCAAGGCAGGAUAUUAUCAAAUUAAUAAGUCUUUAUCAAAUUAACAAGGCAGGAUAUUUACAAGGGAAAUCCAUAAUUAACAAAUUAAUAGGAAGUCUUUAUAGGCUGUGAAGUGAGAACAUAUAUAUUUGCAAAUUAAUAAGUCUUUAAUUAACAAAUCUAAUCAACCGAUUGUCAAAAAAAAAAAAAAAAAAUUAACAAAACUAAUUAACCUAAAAAAUGAAUCAAAGUAAUAGGGAUGUUUCUUGAUCAGCAAAGUAUACGAUAUUGUGUUCCCAUUGACCAUAGACAAUAUAAUAUUUUUUUAGACACAAUAUAAAUUUUCUUCCAUGGUAAACAAAAUUACUUAUACCAUUCUUCUUAUUAUAAAACCAUGAGGCACAAACAAUGAAUCUGUUAGUUGAAUUAAAAAAAACUAAAAACUAGUUUCCAACACUUAUUCAAAUAUGAAUUGCAAAAUUAAACUAAAAAUAGACUUCAGGAAUAUUAAAACAUAAGAUUGAGUAAGAAAAAAAAAAGAAUAAAACGUAAGAUAAAAGGAAGAAAUUAUAGCAAAAAUGUGAAGCAUGGGAACCAUAUGCUCAAAUUAGAAUGGAAUUUAUGGAAAUAAUGCCUUUAAAAGAAAUGUAAGAGAUCAAAUAUAUGAGAUAAAAUCCAUGAAUAAUACACACAACACAAGUAUAAUAUUUUUUUUAUUUCAACAAUAUAUCUAAGAGAUAAUAAAUGAAAUUUUCAACAAAUUAAAAUUAGUUGAAAUGAAAUCACAUAAAUACCUCUUUUAUAUAAUGCAUUGGUCCUCCUCCACCAUGAAAUUAAAUUAUUUCCCUAUAUAUCCAGAUAAUAUGAAAGGGGUUAAUUAAAAUGUGUAUAAUCCCCAUAGUAUAGGAACACAAGAGGCUGAGUAAGUGAAAGUGUAAGAUAGAUAGGUUAAAUAGUGGCGUUCCAGGGCCGGCUAGCUUGUCUCCAAUCCCCCAAAAUGGGACAUUCAUUUGACCUAAUAUAAAGUUUAAGUAGUUUUGUAUCUAAAAAAUAGUUUACAGUAUAUAAUUAAUAUUUUUUUUUUUUUGAUAACAGUAUAUAAUUAAUAUUUAUAAGCAAACACAUACAUUAGAAAAUUAAUUCAAAGGUUUAUAAUAUAAAUUUAAUAUAUUUAUACUCGAAUAUUUAAUUUGCACACAUACAUCGAAAAUAUGACUUUUUAACAUUUCUUCUAAAUAUAAAUAAAGAUUAUUAAUAUUAAUUAGUGUUCACUAGAAAUACUUUUUCUUAAAAAUAAACUAUUUACCAAAUAUUUUGUUUAUGUGAACUAAGAAGCAGAUAUCAAAAAGAGACUUAAUUAGACAUUCCGUUGACAUCUCUAAUAAACCUCUAAUAAUAUUUUACUAAAUAUUGUAUUAUUGAUUCAUACACAUUGAAUGAUUUAUUAGGCUACCUUUUCUUUUGUACAAGGCAGCUACUUUUGCCACCCUACUGGUUAUUCGCGCGUCCUAUUGUUCACUACUUAAGUAGUGGAUGUGUAAAAAUCAUAAAUUUUGGGGAAAAAGUCGUCCGCUACUUAAGUAGCGGACAAUGUUUGAGUAACCAGUAGGGCGGCAAAAAUAAUUCUCUUUAUACAAAUGAUUUAUUGGGCUCUAUGAUUGGCCCAAUUGCUAGUUCACUGGAUGAGCUAAAAACAGAUAAGAAAAUAAGGUUUUUUUACUUUUCUAAUUUACCCAUCAAAAGUAUAUGUGGGAGGUGGGAAAAGAAGGUCCACUUUACUACUAAGUCUUAUGUUAAUGUCAAAACUCUUUCUUUUACUUAUUGGGCCUCUAUAUAUAUUUGGGUUACUUAAUAACCUGGGCCUAUAUAUAAUAAUAGCUACAAAUUUAUCAUUUGUGUAUGGUAAGGUCAAUGAUAAAUAAAUAAAUAAAAACUGUCUAAGACAACCUCCUUAAUUAUAUUAUGAUAAUUAGGCGUGUUCAUGAUUUAGUUUAGAGUAAAAAUAGAACUGAACCGAACCAAAUUAUUUACAUGUUCAGAAGAACUGAAUUGGACCGUAUAAUUUUAGGCAAGCCAGCAUUUGCAGCCUCUACCAACCAGUGAAACUUGAACCAUGUUCCACCACUCUGAUGCCCUCGCUUGAGUUACAAGUUGCGGAAUUUUACUAAUUUUGAGGUUUGAACCUAUGUCACAUAAAUUAUGAAUUCUUCAUCCUAAUCAAUUGAGUUAAGUAAACUUCUUAACAAAAUUAAUUAAGUUCUGAAACAAAUAAAUUAAACUAAACUAUAAGUAAUUAAUUACUAGUACUUACAUAUGUGUAGCCAUAAUACUGUGCUUCAAGUCGUGUGAUUCCUUGUGUGCUUGACAUAAAGCCUGCCAAAUGCAAAUUAUGAAUGAAUACUAAAGACAUAGGCGAUGAAGAUGUUGUAAUGUGAGAUUAAAUACACACACAUACCAUUUUUAAUCUUGUUGUCCAUGAUGUCUUGUUCUCGUGUCAAAGUCAAAAAAGUAAGUGGGAACAUAUUAAGAAGAAGAAAAAAAAAUAAAGUUAUC
RNAcentral lists this long non-coding RNA (3853 nucleotides) under Trifolium pratense (red clover). RNAcentral describes it as "long non-coding RNA (TPRA_LNC006869)". Lineage: Eukaryota; Viridiplantae; Streptophyta; Magnoliopsida; Fabales; Fabaceae. The record is from RNAcentral.